RNAcentral lists this transfer RNA (68 nucleotides) under Lampsilis ornata (southern pocketbook). RNAcentral describes it as "tRNA-Thr". Lineage: Eukaryota; Metazoa; Mollusca; Bivalvia; Unionida; Unionidae. The record is from RNAcentral.
GCUUUGAGAAGCUAAACUUUUAAGCAUUGGUCUUGUAAACCAAAAAUAAGAUAAAUUUCUCCAAAGCU